CGAGCCGACCGGGCGGUCGCGUCGAGGUAGUGAUACUUCGCCGAGGAAAGUCCGGGCUCCACAGGGCAGGGUGGUUGUUAACGGCAACCCGGGGUGACCCGCGGGACAGUGCCACAGAAAAUAGACCGCCAGCGCUCACGCGCUGGUAAGGGUGAAACGGUGGUGUAAGAGACCACCAGCGUUUCGGGUGACCGAAGCGGCUCGGCAAACCCCACCCGGAGCAAGGUCGAGAAGAUCAUCCUGGCAACAGGGUGCAUCGCGCAGGCAUUUGAGGGCGGCCCGCCCGAGUCUGCGGGUAGACCGCUAGAGCCUGCCGGCAACGGCAGGCCGAGAUGGAUGACCGCCACUCAUUGCAUCCGCAGUGAGCGACAGGACCCGGCUUAUGCGUCGACUCGUCCG
Molecule: RNase P RNA, 399 nt
Filed under: Actinomycetota bacterium
Lineage: Bacteria; Bacillati; Actinomycetota
Description: RNase P RNA component class A
Rfam family: Bacterial RNase P class A
About the family: Ribonuclease P (RNase P) is a ubiquitous endoribonuclease, found in archaea, bacteria and eukarya as well as chloroplasts and mitochondria. Its best characterised activity is the generation of mature 5'-ends of tRNAs by cleaving the 5'-leader elements of precursor-tRNAs.
Source: RNAcentral